RNA transcript from Ictalurus punctatus (channel catfish), 4332 nucleotides. It is a transcript of the gene named fibroblast growth factor 4, with no coding region annotated. NCBI's taxonomy places the organism in Eukaryota, Metazoa, Chordata, Actinopteri, Siluriformes, Ictaluridae. The transcript has 4 exons. The record is from RefSeq and is a predicted model, not a curated record.
UCUCUAAACCCCACAGCUCGUAUGCGCGCGUGUUAUAAGGACUCGGUCCGCUGUCAGUGGUUCAUGUCUCCCUGUGAUGCGAAGCUUGACCCGUGAUGUAAUUCCUCUGCACGCAUAAAUAUAGUUGUUGGGGCUAAAAAAGCACGGCAUGGCCGAGUUUUGUUGCUGAACGGUGGUCAAGUCACUCCGGACCUGCAAACUUGGACUCGGAGUGUGAUUUCAGGGCGCUCGCGCUACCACAUCGUGCGCGACUUCAUGCCGCUCAACAGCGCGAGCCGCGGCUUCGCUUGUGAGUAAGCGCUUUUGCUCUGUGGAAUCUUUUUUUGGGGGGCGGCGAGGGGGGACCGUGGACACCAAAAUAGACAAAGAGCAUAUUUUUAGAGUAUUUGAACGCCUGCAGACAGUGACGCGUGCCUCCGUGUUGGUCAGGAGGAUGAGUGUUCAUUCGGCCCUCUUGCCGUUACUGGUGUUGGGACUCGUGGCGAGCUCGGUGCGCUGCGCUCCUCUGCCCAUGGAGCGACGCUGGGAGACUCUUUACUCGCGCUCUUUGGCCCGGAUUCCCGGGGAGAAGCGAGAAGUCAACCGGGACAGUGACUAUCUCACGGGCAUUAAGAGACUGCGGCGCCUCUACUGCAACGUGGGCAUUGGGUUUCAUCUCCAAGUAUUACCCGACGGUAGGAUUACUGGGGUGCACAACGAAAACCGUUACAGUCUUCUUGAGAUAUCUCCGGUCGAGCGCGGAGUCGUGACACUGUACGGCGUCCGGAGCGAGCUAUUCGUGGCCAUGAACAGCAAGGGGAAGCUCUACGGAUCUGUGCAGUACACAGACGAGUGCAAAUUUAGAGAGACUCUCCUGGCAAACAACUACAAUGCGUACGAGUCCCUGGCAUACCCAGGCAUGUACAUCGGACUGAGCAGGACAGGCAAGACAAAAAAAGGAAACCGAGUGUCAACAGCAAUGACGGUGACACAUUUCUUGCCAAGAAUCUAAACGAACACGGGAAGAAGGCACAACAAAUGCAGCCAAUGCAGGGGGAAGCCCGGACGAUGCACUUUCUACAAAUCUUACACACGAGACUCCUCUUCCCAGUUUUGCUGACGACAAAUGUUUUUCCUGUUGCUGCGUCGCCCCUCGGCUGAAGUCCUGGAAGGCCACUAGCUGCGCCUUGUCACGUUUGAGCUAUCUUUACCCUGUGAUUUACUUUUAGAAAUGAUAAUCAUGGUGGAAAUAUUUGAAGACAGCUGUGAGACUGCACUAUAUGCUUGACCGGUAACCCUAUAUUUUUCUUGAUAUAUUUUGUUAAAUAGAACAUUGCAUAAUUGGUGAAAUGCCGAGUGGCUGCUUUUUAGGUUGGGUGUUUCAGGAGAAGUAGGCUUACUGCCAUAACAGAAAGCGGUUUAUCAAAUCCAUUUAGGACUGACUGAGAUGAUCUCAAGUGAAGCAUUCCUUAUUAUUAUUUGUGUUUGUUACAGGUACAAAAUUAAAUUAGCAUGAAAAUGAUUUGAGAAUGUCCUUUAAUUAAUUAAAGUCACAUUUUGUGUUAUAUGGUGAAUGUGGACAGGGAUAAGUGGAUGAGUGGAUUGAUAGGGGUGAUUGUGACUGGUAAUUAGGUUCAAAUUUGAAUGAAAAUGGUCUUGUUAGACUGACUCUAGAAUGAAAGUCUUUAUCAGAAAUCACAGCCAUAUUUAUCUAGAAAUCUUGACGAAGAAUCUGAGGAAUAUGUAUUACAGUAUUUGUUGAAAUCCACUUUUUUCGCAUUGUAUAAUUCCUCUGCUUUACUAAUAUUCAUGUUUCUAUUCUACCUGACCAUGUAGAAUUAUUCAGUUUGUUUGAUUUCCCUGAAAUGCUGUUGUGUCAGAGGAGCCAUUUCCCUCUUCUUACUUUUUCCUUUCCUAGAGCCAUGUCAAACCUCUUUCCAAAUGGAGCUGUUUUGCAUCAUUGUGGAUAUUGUUUACAAUUGGCUGGACGCUCAGUGAAGGCAAAUAGCUUCUCUGACCCUCAUCAUGAUCUGGAACAGAUACAAAUCAACCGGACUAAAUUUGCUUAACCAAAAGCGUGCAGUAUCAACAAGCACGGCCAUGCACUCCGGCGGUAGCAAGAAUGAAUGAACAGAAAUGCAUCACUGCCUAAUCUAAUCAGCCACUCCACAACCGUCUCUAAUAGCCUAAUGUCCAUUUUUAUGAGUUGUACUUAAAAAUAUGAACAAUAUGGAAAUAAACAAUUCAUUUUUAUUUCUGUCAAUUCCUUUACGGCCAUUUCUCUGCAUCUCUGGUGAAGUUGUUGGACUGUCUGUCUGAGUCCUGUGGUGGUGUGCUCUGAACCUUGUUGACAUUUUACCAAAUAUUGUCUGUAGUUUUAUACAGUUCCUGUUCAACAUUGUGAUGUAUGUGCUGUGCACAUGACAAUACCCUAACUUAAGUGGAAGUUAAUAAAGCUCAGAACAACAACAACAAAAAAAGAGCUGUGUGCUUUUAAUGCCUCCCUUUAGAAGGAAAAGCAGGGCUGAUCAGAAGCAGGGUUUAACCCGUUCCCACAAACCACAUCCACAGCUGGCAUACUGUAGCAUCAUCUUAACCAGGCAUCAAUAGUCCUUGGUCACAUAAAACACUAGUAAGAAUAGAUCACUUUGGAGUUUAAGUAUAGAAAAAAAAGUUUGCUGUUGAGCCUAAAAAUACGCUUGCAGACACUGCUAGACUAUGCGUGGGCAGCAUUUCUGCAGGGACAGCAGAGCCAAGUCACUGUCUUGCCUUUGUUUACUUCGUCCAGGGCCUGGUUUGCAGAUUGGGCGUCUUUUACAGACCGAAUGGUUACUCCCAGGAGUGUAAUCCUCCUCCUUUAGUUCAGAAAGCUUCAUGCAGUAGACGCCUGGGAGGGUGCAGGAGGGAAAGAGUUUCUGCCCUUCCAGGCAUGCACUUCCCUGAAAAGAGAGCUGGAGAGGGCCCUUCCUUUUUCAGAGUGUUGACUAAUGAAGGAAUCCCCCCCCCCACUCCAAACUUCUACAGCAACUUUACUUUCUUUAAUUCUUUGUUUAAUUCAUUUUAUGACAAUACACCACCAGUUAAGUCCAAAACAGUUUGCUAAGACAACAAGCACAAUGGAGAUGACAUUUACAAGCCAGUUCUCUCUCUGACUGAAGGAAUUUUGGCACAAGGGUGUACAAGCUUGAAGGCUUCUCUCUAUUUACAAAGAAUUAGCAUUUAGAAAUCCCUGCAAAGCUCCAAAAUCUCUGUCAUUUUAAUGUUCGUUUUGCCAACAAAUGGACAACAGAAAUAGAUCUAGGGUCAGUAGAAGGCUGACAGUGGACUUGAAUGACUACAGAAGACUCAAAACCAUUUAACUGUUUAAAUCUGAAUUGAGGUCAUAGUGGAAUUGUAAUUAGACACGCAUUACAAAGAAAGUAGAUCAUGAUUGCUGAUUAAUAAUAAGAAAAAAAGAACAAUCACAGAUUCAUGAACAUUCCCAUAAUCCAUGUCUAGCAACAGAAAUGACCUCCAAAAGGUUCUUUUGAUAGCGUCAGUGAAUCUGCAGCAUCCACAAACUUCUAUUCAAAUAAACAUCGUGCCACAACAAAAGAGAAGGCAAACGGAGACAGGUGUGGUCACUUAAUACACAAGUAUUCCUGGCCAUGAGCUGGAGCUAAAUGGAGCUCUGUCAUUGCCUGAAAGAAUGACAGCUUUCUGCUCCAAUAAACGGAAUGUAUGAGGGUUGUAAAGGCCCCCCUUAAAAUAGCUGCCCUGUUCCACCUACCUGCGUCAGCUCCGUCGUCUGUCAACCAAAUAAACAUCCAACCGCCUCUCAAGUGCCUCUUCUCCACUAAACAGUUUGCCCCCGAAACUGCCUUUAUAUCACAACAGGCCUUUCAAGUUCUCCAGCACAAAGACUUCACAGGGCACCCCGAUGGCUUGAAACAGCUCACAACGAUGCGUUUGCUAACAGGAAGUGCAUUGGCUACUAAUUGUCUAAUCGGUGAUUGGUAGAAGAGCUCAAGCAGAUGUUGGGGGAAAUGGAGCUGCUAGUGCUUGGCUAAUUUGUGUGUGUGUGUAUAUAUAUAAAUAUACACACCACUGUAACAAAAUAUGGCACAUAAUCUUAGGAGGAUAGUAAUAUUCAAUGUAGUUUAUAGUUUAGGUAUAGUAUUUAGUCACAUCACUAGUAGUAGGGUUUCAACCUUUAUGUCAUUCUAUAUAAAAGUGUUAUAAAUAAGUCGUUGAUUUGCUUGGUCCGUAGUAAAAUCAGUGCAUACUAUUAGAACUGAACAUUCAAAUUUGGGUUAACCACUGACUCAGAUCUCUGUGAUGGUCAGAUCUCUGGAUUAGCUUUCAUUUUAUAUA